RNAcentral lists this ribosomal RNA (397 nucleotides) under uncultured bacterium. RNAcentral's name for it is "bacterial SSU rRNA". It matches the Rfam family "Bacterial small subunit ribosomal RNA", at positions 30 to 429 of the family's 1533-position model. The record is from RNAcentral.
AUUGAACGCUGGCGGCAUGCUUUACACAUGCAAGUCGAACGGCAGCAUGGGCUUCGGCCUGAUGGCGAGUGGCGAACGGGUGAGUAAUGCAUCGGAACGUACCCAGUCGUGGGGGAUAACGUAGCGAAAGUUACGCUAAUACCGCAUACGACCUGAGGGUGAAAGCAGGGGAUCUUUGGACCUUGUGCGAUUGGAGCGGCCGAUGUCAGAUUAGCUAGUUGGUGGGGUAAAGGCCUACCAAGGCGACGAUCUGUAGCGGGUCUGAGAGGAUGAUCCGCCACACUGGGACUGAGACACGGCCCAGACUCCUACGGGAGGCAGCAGUGGGGAAUUUUGGACAAUGGGCGCAAGCCUGAUCCAGCCAUGCCGCGUGCGGGAAGAAGGCCUCGGUUGUAAG